Molecule: ribosomal RNA, 301 nt
Filed under: uncultured bacterium
Lineage: Bacteria
Description: partial 16S ribosomal RNA
Rfam family: Bacterial small subunit ribosomal RNA
Source: RNAcentral
CAGCGCCACGGUAAUACGUAGGGCGCAAGCGUUAUCCGGAAUUAUUGGGCGUAAAGAGCUCGUAGGCGGUUUGUCGCGUCUGCCGUGAAAGUCCGGGGCUCAACCCCGGAUCUGCGGUGGGUACGGGCAGACUAGAGUGAUGUAGGGGAGACUGGAAUUCCUGGUGUAGCGGUGAAAUGCGCAGAUAUCAGGAGGAACACCGAUGGCGAAGGCAGGUCUCUGGGCAUUAACUGACGCUGAGGAGCGAAAGCAUGGGGAGCGAACAGGAUUAGAUACCCCCGUAGUCCCUGUCUCUUAUACA